UCCCUCUUCGAAGAAAUUCUCCAGAUAUUCCUCCAUUCCCAAGAUCACUCCGUGGCCUUAUCCACGUAACGAUCUCUCGAAAUUCGUUUCGAUCGGAUCGACAAACGCAAAGGACGAACGGACGACACUCAAAACGCGAUCAUCACCCCCCUCCCGAAAUUUCUCCCGUCCAAAAUCGAUCCGUCCAAAAUCGAUCCGUCCAAAAUCGUCGAUUUUUCGGCUCGGUUUCGAUCGCGUGCCUUGAUGAGAUCGAUCGGCCGUUCGAUCGAUCGAGAACGGCGGAGGACGAAGGUGCGGAGGAGAGGGGAUGUGCGUGGUCUGGUCUCGAGUGUCUGGUCGCCAUCCGUGGACACGCGGUGAGUAUCUCGAAUCGAUUCUCGAACGAACAAUAACAAGACGACGAAGACCGAACCGAAGACUACAACGACGACGACGACGACGACGACGACGACGCUGAACCUUUCCUCCUUUCGUAUCGUUCUUUCCUUUCGCUUCUCCGAUAACGCGUCAGAUCUUGCUCGUUCUUCUCUUCUUCUUUCGUGGUGUCGUAGGGGCUGAGAGGCGGAUGCGGCCCUGGCGGCGCAUGAUGCACCGCCC
Long non-coding RNA from Apis dorsata (giant honeybee), 597 nucleotides. RefSeq lists it as uncharacterized. The record is from RefSeq and is a predicted model, not a curated record. NCBI's taxonomy places the organism in Eukaryota, Metazoa, Arthropoda, Insecta, Hymenoptera, Apidae. The transcript is spliced from 3 exons.